AAUAUAUGUAUCUCCUAGAAUAAUGGUUUGGAUGUAAUAAAUGGUUUGUGUAUUGUGCUCUCGAUCUUCUUAGCUAAAGAAAAUCAUUAUCUAUUUUCUUUUGAUUGUAAUCUAUUGAGAACACUGAGUCAAAGCAUAAGAAUGUGAAGGAAUCUUUGAUUCAAUGUUGUAAGGCGGAUUGCGAGGUACAAUUGUAGAAAGAAAAGCUUAAGAUACAAACUCAUAGCGCGAAAUAACUUGCAUAAGGUGAUUACAAUUGAGGGAAAAGUUACUUGCCGAAGAAGAAUGCUCACAUGAUAGGCUAUAAAAAAUUACGUAUAGUUUAGGAAAAUGUACAUAUUAAUAAAAAUGAGUAAACACCCAACAAUAUCAAGUAGUUAUUUAUUUUUAAUACUCUACAUUUUUUUGUAUUUUAAAGUAAUUUAAAUAGAUUAUUUGAUAUUCUACUUUGUUCAAGUCAAUUUUCAAAUUUUACAAGUUAGAUAAAGACCAUGUACAGAGUACGAGGCGAGACAGGUAAGGAAUAACUAUGCUCAUCUCUAACAAUUCAGUGAUUUCUAUGUAUUAAAUUAAAACAGAAGUACAAAACAUUAUUUACCUAAUUUUAAGUGAUUUUUACAUUUCAAUCAUUCCUUUUUAAACUAAUUUUAACAAUUUUAUUUAUUAUAUUUUCUAAUUAAUCCGACAUCAUUUAUUACAGAAGUUUAAAGUAUAAUGUACCUAUUUUAAGUUUUAUUAUAUCUUUACAUUCCUUUUUCAUUCUUCAUGACUACUUCAUUAAUUGUCUUUACCAUAAUAAUUCGACAUCGUUUAGUUUACGUGUUAACAUAAUAAUUCUACAGGUUUGAAUGCAAUUGUUCCAUUUGUGACCAGAAUUCAAACCGGUUAACAAAGAAAGUUUUACUUAUUUACAUAAUUAGUUAGGCAUGCGUAUUUCAGUAUUCGUUUGGGUACGAAUCGGUUUUUUCAGGUCUCAUGAUUUUGGAUUUUAAAAUUAUGCUCUGUUUGGAUAUUGUAACUUUAUGGGCAUAGUUCGAGUCGGGUCCUCGGUAAUGAUGUAUAGGAAUAUAAAGCUAUCCAAAAGCAUAUGUGUUUAGAAAUUUCAUUAAACAAUUUAUUAAAAAAAAGAAAAGGUAAAACACAACAGAUAAGCGGAUCAAGCUCUAGUUAGAUUUUUAAACUUUAGAGAGGAUUCAUGUCUCUAAGGGGAGAUUUGAACAAACAUUAAAAUCACGGAUUCGAUAAAUCAAAAAGAUUUGCUUCCUUUGAUGUAUUUGACUACAAAACUAUACUUUGUUUUUAUUCAUAUUAUGGAAACUUAUUUUGAAAUUAAGUAUGUCUUUUAUGUUUACCAAAUAUUUUUCAUGAAAGAUUAAAAUAUUACCCUACCAAUAUUGAAACAUAAUUACGAAAUAGAAUAUUUUCUUUUGACUAUAAUCUGAAGAAAUAAAUCGAAAUGAUUCUUUUGACCUAAAAAUACCUUUUACGUAUAUUUUUUUGUUAUAUAUAUAUAUAUAUAUAAAGUAAAGCAAAAAUAUAAAAAAUAUAAAAAGUUAAGAAGAUAUCAUAAAAAUGGCUAUCAGUAAGAAAAUGCUACAUGCAUAUGUUGUCAGUAUCUUCCUCAUCGUAUCUUCUGUGCACUGCUCUGAUCGCAUUCAUGGUAUUAGCUUAUUCUUAUAACUCGAUUUUACUUUUAUGGUGAACACAUUUUUUUUUUGUUUUAUUUUGAAUGUAUAUAACGAUUUAUAACUGUUGUUACAUUGGUGCUGGAAUCAAAAAAGAAUUUAAACAAUGCUUCCCAAAGCAGCCGUGUGGGAAGACUUGCGAAGAGUACUGUGUAGGACACAUUAACGAUAAAUGGGAUAUAAGGACAUCUUGUGAAUCUGGCGCAUGUUGUUGUAUAAAAGAUGGUGCUGUAUAACCACGAGAUAUUGUAAUCUCAUCAAAUAUAUGUAUCUCCUAGAAUAAUGGUUUGGAUGUAAUAAAUGGUUUGUGUAUUGUGCUCUCGAUCUUCUUAGCUAAAGAAAAUCAUUAUAUAUUUUCUUUUGAUUGUAAUCUAUUGAGAACACUGAGUCAAAGCAUAAGAAUGUGAAGGAAUCUUUGAUUCAAUGUUGUAAAGCGGAUUUCGAGGUACAAUUGGAGAAAGAAAAGCUUAAGAUACAAACUCAUAGCGCGAAAUAACUUGCAUAGGGUGAUUACAAUUGAGGGAAAAGUUACUUGCCGAAGAAGAAUGCUCACAUGAUAGGCUAUAAAAAAUUACGUAUAGUUUAGGAAAAUGUACAUAUUAGUAAAAAUGAGUAAAAACCCAACAAUGUCAAGUAGUUAUUUAUUUUUAAUACUCUACACUUUUUUGCAUUUGAAAGUAAUUUAAAUAGAUUAUUUGAUAUUCUACUUUGUUCAAGUCGAUUUUCAAAUUUUACAAGUUAGAUAAAGACCAUGUGCAGAGUACGAGGCGAGACAGGUAAGGAAUAACUAUGCUCAUCUCUAACAAUUCAGUGAUUUCUAUGUAUUAAAUAAAAACAGAAGUACAAAACAUUAUUACCUAAUUUUAAGUGUUUUUUACAUCUUAAUCAUUCCUUUUUAAACUAUUUUUAACCCUUUAAUUUAUAAUUUUUUCCAAUAAUUCGACAUCAUUUAUUACAGAAGGGUAAAAUAUAACGUACCUAUUUUAAGUUUUUAUUAUAUAUUUACAUUCCUUUUUCAUUCUUCAUGACUACUUCAUUAAUUGUCUUUACCAUAAUAAUUCGACAUCAUUUAGUUUACGUGUUAAUAUAAUAAUUCUACAGGUUUGAAUGCAAUUCUUCCAUUUGUGACCAGAAUUCAAACCGGUUAACAAAGAAAGUUUUACUUAUUUACAUAAUUAGUUAGGCAUGCAUAUUUCGGUAUUCGUUUGGGUACGAAUCGGUUUUUUCAGGUCUCAUGAUUUUGGAUUUUUAAAUUAUGCUCUGUUUGGAUAUUGUAAGUUUAUGGGCAUAGUUCGAGUCGGGUCCUCGGUUAUGAUGUAUAGGAAUAUAAAGCUAUCCAAAAGUAUAUGUGUUUAGAAAUGUCAUUAAACAAUUUAUUAAAAAAAGAAAAAGUAAAACACAACAGACAAGCGGAUCAAGCUCUAGUUAGAUUUCAAAAAUUUAGAGAGGAUUCAUGUCUCUAAGGGGAGAUUUGAACAAACAUUAAAAUCACGGAUUCGAUAAAUCAAAAAGAUUUGCUUCCUUUGAUUUAUUUGACUACGAAACUAAACUUUGUUUUUAUUCAUAUUAUAGAAACUUAUUUUGAAAUUAAGUAUGUCUUUUAUGUUUACCAAAUAUUUUUCAUGAAAGAUUAAAAUAUUACCCUACCAAUAUUGAAACAUAAUUACGAAAUAGAAUAUUUUCUUUUGACUAUAAUCUGAAGAAAUAAAUCAAAAUGAUUCUUUUGACUUAAAAAUACCUUUUACGUAUAUUUUUUUGUUAUAUAUAUAUAUAUAUAUAUAUAUAACAAUCCGAAGUAAAACAAAAAUAUAAAAAUAUAAAAAGUUAAGAAGAUAUCAUAAAAAUGGCUAUCACCAAGAAAAUGCUACUUGCAUAUGUUGUCAGUAUCUUCCUCAUCGUAUCUUCUGUGCACUGCUCUGAUCGCAUUCUUGGUGCUGGAAUCAAUAAAGAAUUAAAACAAUGCUUCCCAAAGCAGCCGUGUGGGAAGAUUUGCGAAGAGUACUGUGUAGGACACAUUAACGAUAAAUGGGGUAUAAGGACAUCUUGUGAAUCUGGCACAUGUUGUUGUAUAAAAGAUGGUGCUGUAUAACCACGAGAUAUUGUAAUCUCAUCAAAUAUAUGUAUCUCCUAGAAUAAUGGUUUGGAUGUAAUAAAUGGUUUGUGUAUUGUUCUCUCGAUCUUCUUAGCUAAAGAAAAUCAUUAUAUAUUUUGUUUUGAUUGUAAUCUAUUGAGAACACUGAGGCAAAACAUAAGAAUGUGAAGGAAUCUUUGAUUCAAUGUUGUAAGGCGGAUUGCGAGAUACAAUUGUAGAAAGAAAAGUUUAAGAUAGAAACUCAGAGCGCGAAAUAAAUUGCAUAAGGUGAUUAGAAUUGAGGGAAAAGUUAAUUCCCGAAGAAGAAUGCUGACAUGCUAGGCUAUAAAAAAUUAUGUAUAGUUUAGGAAAAUGUACAUAUGUUUAUUAGUAAAAAUGAGUAAAAACCCAACAAUGUCAAGUAGUUAUUUAUUUUUGAUACUCGAUACUUUUUUGCAUUUGAAAGUAAUUUAAAUAGAUUAUUUGAUAUUCGACUUUGUUCAAGUCACUUUCCAAAUUUUACAAGUUAAAUAAAGACCAUGUACAGAGUACGAGGAGAGACAAGUAAGGAAUAACUAUGCUCAUCUCUAACAAUUCAGUGAUUUCUAUGUAUAAUAUUAAAACAGAAGUACAAAACAUUAUUUACCUAAUUUUAAGUGAUUUUUACAUCUUAUUCAUUUCUUUUUAAACUAAUUUUAACCAUUUCAUUUAUUGUAUUUUCUAAUUAAUUCGACAUCAUUUAUUACAGAAAUUUAAAGUAUAAUGUACCUAUUUUAAGUUUUAUUAUAUCUUUACAUUCCUUUUUCAUUCUUCAUGACUACUUCAUUAAUUGUCUUUACCAUAAUAAUUCAACAUCAUUUAGUUUACGUGUUAACAUAAUAAUACUACAGGUUUGAAUGCAAUUGUUCCAUUUGUGACCGGAAUUCAAACCGGUUAACAAAGAAAGUUUUACUUAUUUACAUAAUUAGUUAGGCAUGGGUAUUUCGGUAUUCGUUUGGGUACGAAUCGGUUUUUUCAGGUCUCAUGAUUUUGGAUUUUAAAAUUAUGCUCUGUUUGGAUAUUGUAAGUUUAUGGGCAUAGUUCGAGUCGGGUCCUCGGUUAUUAUGUAUAGGAAUAUAAAGCUAUCCAAAAGCAUAUAUGUUUAGAAAUGUCAUUAAACAAUUUAUUAAAAAAGAAAAAGUAAAACACAACAGACAAGCGGAUCAAGUUCUAGUUAGAUUUCAAAAAUUUAGAGAGGAUUCAUGUCUCUAAGGGGAGAUUUGAACAAACAUUAAAAUCACGGAUUCGAUAAAUCAAAAAGAUUUGCUUCCUUUGAUGUAUUUGACUACGAAACUAAACUUUGUUUUUAUUCAUAUUAUAGAAACUUAUUUUGAAAUUAAGUAUGUCUUUUAUGUUUACCAAAUAUUUUUCAUGAAAGAUUAAAAUAUUACCCUACCUAUAUUGAAACAUAAUUACGAAAUAGACUAUUUUCUUUUGACUAUAAUCUGAAGAAAUAAAUCAAAAUGAUUCUUUUGACUUAAAAAUACCUUUUACGUAUAUUUUUUUGUUAUAUAUAUAUAUAUAUAUAUUAUAUAUAUAUAUAUAUAUAUAUAUAACAAUCCGAAGUAAAACAAAAAUAUAAAAAAUAUAAAAAGUUAAGAAGAUAUCAUAAAAAUGGCUAUCACCAAGAAAAUGCUACUUGCAUAUGUUGUCAGUAUCUUCCUCAUCGUAUCUUCUGUGCACUGCUCUGAUCGCAUUCUUGGUGCUGGAAUCAAUAAAGAAUUAAAACAAUGCUUCCCAAAGCAGCCGUGUGGGAAGAUUUGCGAAGAGUACUGUGUAGGACACAUUAACGAUAAAUGGGGUAUAAGGACAUCUUGUGAAUCUGGCACAUGUUGUUGUAUAAAAGAUGGUGCUGUAUAACCACGAGAUAUUGUAAUCUCAUCAAAUAUAUGUAUCUCCUAGAAUAAUGGUUUGGAUGUAAUAAAUGGUUUGUGUAUUGUUCUCUCGAUCUUCUUAGCUAAAGAAAAUCAUUAUAUAUUUU
Brassica napus (rape) is the source of this 5776-nucleotide long non-coding RNA. RefSeq lists it as uncharacterized. The record is from RefSeq and is a predicted model, not a curated record. The transcript has 3 exons. Lineage: Eukaryota; Viridiplantae; Streptophyta; Magnoliopsida; Brassicales; Brassicaceae.